GACGAACGCUGGCGGCGUGCUUAACACAUGCAAGUCGAGCGGGAAAGCCUUCGGGUGAGUAAAGCGGCGCACGGGUGAGUAACACGCGGGUAAUCUACCUUCUGAUCUGGCAAAACCCGGGGAAACCCAGGCUAAUUCCAGAUAAGACCACGGGGCGGCGGCUCUGUGGGAAAAGCGGAGGAUCUCUUCGGAGACUUCGCGUCGGAAGAUGAGCCCGCGGCCCAUCAGGUGGUUGGCGGGGUAAUGGCCCACCAAGCCUAAGACGGGUAGCUGGUCUGAGAGGACGAUCAGCUACACUGGAACUGAGACACGGUCCAGACUUCUACGGAAGGCAGCAGUGGGGAAUAUUGGACAAUGGGCGCAAGCCUGAUCCAGCCACGCCGUGUGGGCGAUGAAGGCC
RNAcentral lists this ribosomal RNA (400 nucleotides) under uncultured bacterium. Its description in RNAcentral is "bacterial SSU rRNA". It matches the Rfam family "Bacterial small subunit ribosomal RNA", at positions 28 to 416 of the family's 1533-position model. The record is from RNAcentral.